Molecule: small nuclear RNA, 18 nt
Filed under: Arabidopsis thaliana (thale cress)
Lineage: Eukaryota; Viridiplantae; Streptophyta; Magnoliopsida; Brassicales; Brassicaceae
Description: snRNA_06113
Source: RNAcentral
UCGGGGCAAGAGCCAGGC